AGAUUUUAACUGAUUUAGUCAUUAAAUACGCUCCGAUUCAAGCUUAAAUAUGAAAAAUCUAUCAAAUAUGCCAAAAAACGUCACUUUUCAGAUGGUUUUUGUCAAAAAUGAAAGUGGCCGCAUUCGUGUUCAUCCUCAACCUUUAUAUAUGUUAUGUAUUAUCAUCAAAUACAACUUACAUUUCAAUAUUAUGAAUGAACACGAAUGCGCCCACAUUCAUUUAAGAC
Molecule: long non-coding RNA, 227 nt
Filed under: Mytilus galloprovincialis (Mediterranean mussel)
Lineage: Eukaryota; Metazoa; Mollusca; Bivalvia; Mytilida; Mytilidae
Source: RNAcentral